Molecule: ribosomal RNA, 458 nt
Filed under: uncultured bacterium
Lineage: Bacteria
Description: partial 16S ribosomal RNA
Rfam family: Bacterial small subunit ribosomal RNA
Source: RNAcentral
CCUACGGGCGACAGCAGUGAGGAAUAUUGGUCAAUGGGCGAGAGCCUGAACCAGCCAAGUCGCGUGAGGGAGUACUGCCCUAUGGGUUGUAAACCUCUUUUGUCGGGGAGCAAAAGCCGGACGUGUCCGGCUGUGAGAGUACCCGAAGAAAAAGCAUCGGCUAACUCCGUGCCAGCAGCCGCGGUAAUACGGAGGAUGCGAGCGUUAUCCGGAUUUAUGGGGUUAAAAGGGUGCGCAGGCGGAUUUUUACGUCAGCGGUCAAAUCGUGGGGCUCAACCCCAUCCAGCCGUUGAAACUGGGGAUCUAGAGUGUGCGAGAGGUAUGGGGAAUGCGUGGUGUAGCGGUGAAAUGCAUAGAGAUCACGCAGAACCCCGAUUGCGAAGGCAGCAUACCGGUGCACAACUGACGCUCAGGCACGAAAGCGUGGGUAUCGAACAGGAUUAGAUACCCCAGUAGUC